UGGGGAAUUUUGGACAAUGGGCGAAAGCCUGAUCCAGCAAUGCCGCGUGUGUGAAGAAGGCCUUCGGGUUGUAAAGCACUUUUGUCCGGAAAGAAAUCCUUGGCUCUAAUACAGUCGGGGGAUGACGGUACCGGAAGAAUAAGCACCGGCUAACUACGUGCCAGCAGCCGCGGUAAUACGUAGGGUGCAAGCGUUAAUCGGAAUUACUGGGCGUAAAGCGUGCGCAGGCGGUUUGCUAAGACCGAUGUGAAAUCCCCGGGCUCAACCUGGGAACUGCAUUGGUGACUGGCAGGCUAGAGUAUGGCAGAGGGGGGUAGAAUUCCACGUGUAGCAGUGAAAUGCGUAGAGAUGUGGAGGAAUACCGAUGGCGAAGGCAGCCCCCUGGGCCGAUACUGACGCUCAUGCACGAAAGCGUGGGGAGCAAACAGGAUUAGAUACCCUGGUAGUCCACGCCCUAAACGAUGUCAACUAGUUGUUGGGGAUUCAUUUCCUUAGUAACGUAGCUAACGCGUGAAGUUGACCGCCUGGGGAGUACGGUCGCAAGAUUAAAACUCAAAUGAAUUGACGGGGU
RNAcentral lists this ribosomal RNA (571 nucleotides) under uncultured bacterium. RNAcentral's name for it is "partial 16S ribosomal RNA". It matches the Rfam family "Bacterial small subunit ribosomal RNA", at positions 355 to 919 of the family's 1533-position model. The record is from RNAcentral.